GCCUAGGUGGCUCAGUCGGUUGAGCGUCUGACUUUGGCUCAGGUCAUGAUCUUGCGGCUUGUGGGUUCAGGCCCCACAUUGGACU
Molecule: transfer RNA, 85 nt
Filed under: Felis catus (domestic cat)
Lineage: Eukaryota; Metazoa; Chordata; Mammalia; Carnivora; Felidae
Rfam family: tRNA
About the family: Transfer RNA (tRNA) molecules are approximately 80 nucleotides in length.
Source: Rfam by way of RNAcentral